RNAcentral lists this non-coding RNA (1495 nucleotides) under Rhodnius prolixus. RNAcentral's name for it is "Eukaryotic large subunit ribosomal RNA". It matches the Rfam family "Eukaryotic large subunit ribosomal RNA", at positions 990 to 2259 of the family's 3401-position model. Lineage: Eukaryota; Metazoa; Arthropoda; Insecta; Hemiptera; Reduviidae. The record is from Rfam by way of RNAcentral.
UGAGACGAGUCUCAUCCCGGUAGAGCGAAUGAUUAGAGGCAUUGGGGUCGAAACGACCUCAACGUAUUCUCAAACUCCAAAUAGAUGAGAUCCCCGGCUUUCUUAAAAGUGAAGCCGUGGGAAUAGGAUCAGAGUGCCAAGUGGGCCAAUUUUGGUAAGCAGAACUGGCGCUGUGGGAUGAACCAAACGCAGAGUUAAGGCGCCUAAAUUGACGCUCAUGUGAAACCAUGAAAGGCGUUGGUUGCUUAAGACAGCAGGACGGUGGCCAUGGAAGUUGGAAUCCGCUAAGGAGUGUGUAACAACUCACCUGCCGAAGCAACUAGCCCUGAAAAUGGAUGGCGCUGUAGCGUCGUGCCUAUACUCUGCCGUCAAUGACAAAGAUGAUUAAUAAGCUGUGUGUUAAUUAAUGUUGUAGUCUUGACUGCAGUAUUGUUAAUUACAAAGUUUAUUACUAUAUCAUCAUUAUGUCUUGAUGAGUAAGAGGGCCGCGGCGAUGAGCGCAGAAGGGUCUGGGCGAGAGCCCGCCUGGAGCCGUCGCUGGUGCAGAUCUUGGUGGUAGUAGCAAAUACUCCAGCGAGGCCCUGGAGGACUGAUGUGGAGAAGGGUUUCUUGUGAACAGCUGUUGCACAAGAGUCAGUCGAUCCUAAGCCCUAGGAGAAAUCCGAAGCGAUAUGCGCCCGUUAAAUAAUUUUUUUUUAUUAAAUGUUUGGCGCUAUCUGGGCGAAAGGGAAUCCGGUUCCUAUUCCGGAACCCGGCAGCGGAACCGUUCCAAAUCGGGCUCUCAUUUGAGAACUCGUCGGGGUAAGCCCGACAAGAUCCGGAGACGCCGUAGGGAAAUUCGGAGAGAGUUGUCUCUUCUCUAUAAGCGUUCGAGUUCCCUGGAAACCUCUAGCAGGGAGAUAGGGUUUGGAACGCGAAGAGCACCGCAGUUACGGCGGUGUCCGGAUCUUCCCUACGGACCUUGAAAAUCCGGGAGAGGGCCACGAGGAACCCCGCGCCGGCUCGUACCCAUAUCCGCAGCAGGUCUCCAAGGUCAAUAGCCUCUAGUCGAUAGAAUAAUGUAGGUAAGGGAAGUCGGCAAAUCCGAUCCGUAACUUCGGGAUAAGGAUUGGCUCUGAGGACUGAGUCGUGCCGGGCUUGGUCGGGAAGUGGAGCGGUGUCAACGUGCCGGGCCUGGGCGAGGAGAAAAUUGCGUUUCUGCGCUUUUGGAUCCGAGCUCGGUCCCGUGCCUUGGCCACCCACGGAUCUUCCUUGCUGCGAGUCGUUAGCCGUGUGGUUACCGCUGGCUUUUGCUAGCUGGUCGACCUGGCUUACGAUCUCUUCGGCCGACAUUCAACAGUCAACUCAGAACUGGCACGGACAAGGGGAAUCCGACUGUCUAAUUAAAACAAAGCAUUGCGAUGGCCCCAACGGGUGUUGACGCAAUGUGAUUUCUGCCCAGUGCUCUGAAUGUCAAAGUGAAGAAAUUCAAGCAAGCGCGGGUAAACGGCGGGAG